Molecule: ribosomal RNA, 420 nt
Filed under: Fusobacteriota bacterium
Lineage: Bacteria; Fusobacteriati; Fusobacteriota
Description: Fusobacteria bacterium partial 16S ribosomal RNA
Rfam family: Bacterial small subunit ribosomal RNA
Source: RNAcentral
UGGGGGAUAUUGCACAAUGGGCGAAAGCCUGCUGCAGCGACGCCGCGUGGGGGAUGAAGGCCUUCGGGUUGUAAACUUCUUUUGCUCUGAACAAGGCAUGCCUUUGGGGUGUGUUGAGUGUAGGGGUUGAUUAGCGCCGGCUAACUACGUGCCAGCAGCCGCGGUAAUACGUAGGGCGCGAGCGUUGUCCGGAAUUAUUGGGCGUAAAGGGCUUGUAGGUGGCUGGUUGCGUCUGUCGUGAAAGCUCAUGGCUUAACUGGGGGUUUGCGGUGGGUACGGGCUGGCUUGAGUGCAGUAGGGGAGGCUGGAAUUCCUGGUGUAGCGGUGGAAUGCGCAGAUAUCAGGAGGAAUACCGGUGGCGAAGGCGGGUCUCUGGGCUGUUACUGACGCUGAGGAGCGAAAGCGUGGGGAGCGAACAGG